This 986-nucleotide ribosomal RNA is filed under the name uncultured bacterium. RNAcentral describes it as "bacterial SSU rRNA". It matches the Rfam family "Bacterial small subunit ribosomal RNA", at positions 43 to 1017 of the family's 1533-position model. The record is from RNAcentral.
CGGGCCUAACACAUGCAAGUCGAACGAGAAAACCUUCGGGUGAGUACAGUGGCGCACGGGUGAGGAACGCGUAGGUAAUCUACCCUCUGGCGGGGGACAACACUCCGAAAGGAAUGCUAAUACCGCAUAAGACCACACUUACCUCGGUGAGAGUGGUAAAAGGCGCCUCAAAGCGCCACCAGAGGAUGAGCCUGCGUCCCAUCAGCUUGUUGGUAAGGUAACGGCUUACCAAGGCUAAGACGGGUAGCUGGUCUGAGAGGAUGAUCAGCCACACUGGCACUGGAACACGGGCCAGACUCCUACGGGAGGCAGCAGUGAGGAAUAUUGGGCAAUGGGCGAAAGCCUGACCCAGCCACGCCGCGUGUGUGAUGAAGGCCUUCGGGUCGUAAAGCACUGUGGGGAGAGACGAAAAUGCGCAGGAGGAAAUGCUUGCGUACUGACGGUACCUCCUUAGCAAGCACCGGCUAACUCUGUGCCAGCAGCCGCGGUAAUACAGAGGGUGCAAACGUUGCUCGGAUUUACUGGGCGUAAAGCGCGUGUAGGCGGACUCGCAAGUCGGUUGUGAAAUCCCUGGGCUCAACCUAGGAACUGCAUCCGAAACUGCGGGUCUUGAGUAAUGGAGAGGGUGGCGGAAUUCCCGGUGUAGAGGUGAAAUUCGUAGAUAUCGGGAGGAACAUCAGUGGCGAAGGCGGCCACCUGGACAUUCACUGACGCUGAGACGCGAAAGCGUGGGGAGCAAACAGGAUUAGAUACCCUGGUAGUCCACGCCGUAAACGAUGAGAACUAGGUGCAGCGGAUAUUGACCUCUGCUGUGCCGUAGCUAACGCGUUAAGUUCUCCGCCUGGGGAGUACGGCCGCAAGGCUAAAACUCAAAGGAAUUGACGGGGGCCCGCACAAGCAGUGGAGCAUGUGGUUUAAUUCGAAGCAACGCGCAGAACCUUACCAGGGCUAGAAAAACUGAGAAUCCUGACGAAACUCGGGAGUGC